This 2293-nucleotide unclassified non-coding RNA is filed under the name Leishmania donovani. Its description in RNAcentral is "gene:LdHU3.14.1580(CDS-product:enolase)". The record is from RNAcentral. Lineage: Eukaryota; Euglenozoa; Kinetoplastea; Trypanosomatida; Trypanosomatidae.
UCUGCAACGCUCGAGCAACUAUUUCUCUACGCUGUAUCUCCGACCUCACCUGUGCAUUCUCAUCUUUUCCUCUGAUCACGUUGUGCACAUCACCUGGACAGAGUCUUUAUAACCAACAACAUCUCCCCCUCCCUCCAACCGCUUCACCCAUCCGUCAGCAUGCCGAUCCAAAAGGUUUACGCCCGUGAGGUGCUUGACUCCCGCGGCAACCCGACCGUUGAGGUCGAGUUGAUGACGGAGGCCGGCGUCUUCCGCUCCGCUGUGCCGUCCGGCGCGUCGACUGGCGUGCAUGAGGCGUGCGAGCUGCGCGACGGCGACAAGGCGCGCUACUGUGGCGCCGGCUGCACGCAGGCGGUGAAGAACGUGAACGAGAUCCUUGCGCCGGCGCUUGUGGGCAAGGACGAGUCGGACCAGGCCGGCCUCGACAAGAUGAUGUGUGAGCUGGACGGGACAAAGAACAAGAGCAAGCUCGGCGCGAACGCGAUCCUGGGCUGCUCGAUGGCGAUCAGCAAGGCCGCUGCGGCGAAGGCUGGCGUGCCACUGUACAGGUACAUCGCGGGCCUCGCCGGGACGAAGGAUAUUCGCCUGCCUGUGCCGUGCUUCAACGUGAUCAACGGUGGCAAGCACGCCGGCAACGUGCUGCCGUUCCAGGAGUUCAUGAUCGCGCCGACGAAGGCGACGUCGUUCCGUGAGGCGCUGCGCAUGGGCUCGGAGGUAUACCACGCGCUCAAGGUGAUCAUCAAGAGCAAGUACGGCCAGGACGCCGUGAACGUCGGCGACGAGGGCGGCUUCGCGCCGCCGAUCAAGCACAUCGACGAGCCGCUGCCGAUCCUGAUGGAGGCGAUUGAGAAGGCUGGGCACAAGGGCAAGUUCGCGAUCUGCAUGGACUGCGCGGCAAGCGAAGCGUAUGACGCGGAGAGGAAGAUGUACAACCUGACAUUCAAGAACCCCGAGCCGACGUACGUGUCCGCGGCGGAGCUGCAGGCGACCUACGAGCGCUGGGUCGCGGAGUACCCGCUGGUGUCCAUCGAGGACCCGUUCGCGGAAGACAACUUCGACGAGUUCUCGGCGAUUACGAUGGCACUCGCCGGAAAGGCUCAGAUCGUCGGUGAUGACCUGACGGUGACAAACGUGGAGCGUGUGAAGAUGGCGAUCGAGAAGUCUGCGUGCAACUCGCUGCUACUGAAGAUCAACCAGAUCGGCACGAUCAGCGAGUCGAUCGCAGCGGCGAAGCUGUGCAUGGAGAACGGGUGGUCUGUGAUGGUGUCGCACCGCAGCGGCGAGACGGAGGACACGUACAUUGCCGACCUGUCCGUGGGCCUGGGAACCGGCCAGAUCAAGACUGGCGCGCCGUGCCGCGGCGAACGCACUGCGAAGCUGAACCAGCUGCUGCGCAUCGAGGAGGAGAUCGGUUCCACGGCUACGUACGGCUACCCCGGCUGGGCGUAAGACGUGCUUCUCGGGCACCUAUCGCCGCCGUGCGCAGCUUCUUGAUCCUCUCUUGCCCCUCUCGACUCUACACUUCCACUGACGGUGCAACUGCUGCGUCGCGGAGUGCAUACACGGCACUUUUGUGCCGCGGGUCUAGCGCCUGCCAUCAAAAAAGAAAAUAACAUGGAUAGUGUGGCGCCUCGGCUGCCCGGCUGGCGCGUGUUUGUGUGCUCGCGGUGGAUGAAGGAGGGCGGGUCGGUGCGCUGGCGGCGAGGCGAUGCGCCGCGGCAAACUGCAACAGGCGGCCUGGUUUGUGUGUGUGUGUGUAUGUGGGCACUGCUGUGCCCGCUGCGCGUGUGCGCUGGCCGGGUGCCUCGAGGGGCGCCGGACGGCGUGUGCGGGCGUGUGCUUCCAUUCUUGCCCUUACUCACCCGCGUGUUGCGAGGCGCGUGAGCUUGCCUUAUAUUUACUUUGUUCUCUUUUCUCUGAACCGCCGAAACGGUCAGGCAUAUUGGAAAAAGAUUCCCUUCCCACUCGCUUGAGCUGCGCGCGAGUGCUGGCGCGUGAGGCGCGGUAAGCGGCGAGGGUGCCAGGCGACCGUGCCUCGCUCGGCUCCUCCUCUCUGCCUUGCUUGCUCUCCCUCGUUCUCUUUCUAAGCCUGCCUGUGCCUACGCGCGCCACGGGAUGAGCGGCCCUGCCUCCCUCCAUCUCUCUCUUCUCCCACCUGCUCUCUUUCUUUGCGCGCGCGUGUGAGCGGUGGUGGCAGCCAGAUACAGGCAAGCCGAUGUAUUGUAGUUGGAGAAGCAACGGAGCGUCAAGUACUGCGUGCAGGACUCAGCAUGUGAAGUGGAGGAACGGAAGG